CCCCUAUCAAGAGCGCUCGAGAGCCCUGGCUCGAUGACAGCGCAGCAACCGACCGCCGCCCCUCACGGCGGAACGGUGCUCCUGCCAGGUCCGAUAGGAG
This 100-nucleotide non-coding RNA is filed under the name Chloroflexota bacterium. RNAcentral describes it as "Chloroflexi bacterium SAM-I sequence". It matches the Rfam family "SAM riboswitch aptamer (S box leader)". Rfam says of the family: The SAM riboswitch is found upstream of a number of genes which code for proteins involved in methionine or cysteine biosynthesis in Gram-positive bacteria. The SAM riboswitch acts at the level of transcription termination control. The predicted structure consists of a complex stem-loop region followed by a single stem loop terminator region. Lineage: Bacteria; Bacillati; Chloroflexota. The record is from RNAcentral.